GUCAGGUCAUACACUCGUACCUGGUGGGAGAAGAGAGUGAAGAAGGAGCUUGGGGACAAAAGGACCCUGCUGGGGCCACAGUGGGAGCACUGGAGUAACCCACGUUCCUUCCUCCUACAUGUUCCACCAGGUCAACCAUAGUCUGCAGAAUAGCCUUCCCAGUGAGCAGAACUUGCCUCAAGAGGUCACGCAGUGAGAGACUCACACCCGUGCCAGUCCCCAGACGCCCAAACUCGAUUCUGUCUGAUGAACCAAGCUAAUUUGUCGGGAUGGUGGAGGAAGGGUUAAGGAGGAGGUGAAUGGCAAAGAGUGGGGCUUCUUCCUCUUCCACCUUCAACUCAAGACAGAGGCCGAACCUGCAGGCCGAACAAGUUCUGUACGUACCGCCAGGGGGAGACAGAGGCCAGGCUAAGCACCUAUCUGAAAGGAAAAGGUGGCACUAACUUGAUGUUCAAAGAGCCCUGUUCCCAAACCUGGUUUCAGGGAAUUAAUCAGUAGACCUCCAGAGAACCUCCUACCCCAUGCACUGUCCAAAUGAGGACAAGGCCCUUGUGGCCCUAAUGCAAGACAGGAGUAGCCCUCAGGAAUCACUGGCACCAAGUCUGUGGUUGGGAUGCCAUCUCUGUGCUCUGCGGGCGGAAUGCUUCCUGAAGGUAAGGCUCUCUCUUCCUGAGCUGAAGUGAGCCCCCAGAAGGGGUGGCUUUCCUGGCAGCUUCCAAAUAAAAAUCUCAUAAUGAUCA
This is a long non-coding RNA of Neofelis nebulosa (Clouded leopard), 740 nucleotides long. RefSeq lists it as uncharacterized. The record is from RefSeq and is a predicted model, not a curated record. NCBI's taxonomy places the organism in Eukaryota, Metazoa, Chordata, Mammalia, Carnivora, Felidae. The transcript is spliced from 3 exons.